This 468-nucleotide ribosomal RNA is filed under the name uncultured bacterium. Its description in RNAcentral is "partial 16S ribosomal RNA". It matches the Rfam family "Bacterial small subunit ribosomal RNA", at positions 28 to 507 of the family's 1533-position model. The record is from RNAcentral.
GACGAACGCUGGCGGCGUGCUUAACACAUGCAAGUCGAACGGAAAGGCCCUGCUUUUGUGGGGUGCUCGAGUGGCGAACGGGUGAGUAACACGUGAGUAACCUGCCCUUGACUUUGGGAUAACUUCAGGAAACUGGGGCUAAUACCGGAUAGGAGCUCCUGCUGCAUGGUGGGGGUUGGAAAGUUUCGGCGGUUGGGGAUGGACUCGCGGCUUAUCAGCUUGUUGGUGGGGUAGUGGCUUACCAAGGCUUUGACGGGUAGCCGGCCUGAGAGGGUGACCGGCCACAUUGGGACUACGAUACGGCCCAGACUCCUACGGGAGGCAGCAGUGGGGAAUAUUGCACAAUGGGCGGAAGCCUGAUGCAGCAUCGCCGCGUGCGGGAUGACGGCCUUCGGGUUGUAAACCGCUUUCGCCUGUGACGAAGCGUGAGUGACGGUAAUGGGUAAAGAAGCACCGGCUAACUACGUG